This 253-nucleotide ribosomal RNA is filed under the name uncultured bacterium. RNAcentral's name for it is "partial 16S ribosomal RNA". It matches the Rfam family "Bacterial small subunit ribosomal RNA", at positions 524 to 776 of the family's 1533-position model. The record is from RNAcentral.
UACAGAGACUGCAAGCGUUAUUCGGAUUCACUGGGCGUAAAGGGUGCGCAGGCGGCCAAGUGUGUGAGGCGUGAAAGCCCGAAGCUUAACUUCGGAAUUGCACCUCAAACUACAUGGCUAGAGCAUUGGAGAGGGAAGCGGAAUUCACGGUGUAGCAGUGAAAUGCGUAGAUAUCGUAAGGAAGACCAGUGGCGAAGGCGGGUCUCUGGACAGUUCCUGACGCUGAGGCACGAAGGUCAGGGGAGCAAACGGG